CCUACGGGGGGCAGCAGUGGGGAAUAUUGCGCAAUGGGCGAAAGCCUGACGCAGCGACGCCGCGUGAGGGACGACGGCCUUAGGGUUGUAAACCUCUUUCAGCAGGGACGAAGGGAAACUGACGGUACCUGCAGAAGAAGCACCGGCUAACUACGUGCCAGCAGCCGCGGUAAUACGUAGGGUGCAAGCGUUGUCCGGAUUUAUUGGGCGUAAAGAGCUCGUAGGCGGCCUGUCACGUCGGAUGUGAAAACCCGGGGCUCAACCCCGGGCCUGCAUUCGA
This 280-nucleotide ribosomal RNA is filed under the name uncultured bacterium. RNAcentral describes it as "partial 16S ribosomal RNA". It matches the Rfam family "Bacterial small subunit ribosomal RNA", at positions 338 to 630 of the family's 1533-position model. The record is from RNAcentral.